Long non-coding RNA from Homo sapiens (human), 1220 nucleotides. Ensembl annotates it as CCR5 antisense RNA. Its record names the gene CCR5AS. The record is from Ensembl. NCBI's taxonomy places the organism in Eukaryota, Metazoa, Chordata, Mammalia, Primates, Hominidae.
GUAGGUAACAGGUACCAGCUACUGUCAGCAGGGAGGAAGGUAUGUGGUGACCACGAGUCCAGACCUGAGGGUCCUGACCCUCUAAUGCGGCCUCUCACCAGUGUUCGCAGAAACCCACCCGCUGAUUCAAUACGGGGACCAGGAACCUGCCAUGACAGUCACGACUCAGUCUGCCUGCACCUACAUGAUUAAAAAGCUUUAUUGCUCACACAAAGCCUGUUUGGUGGUCUCUUCAUAUGGAUGCGCAUAACAUUUGGUGCCGAAGACCCCGGACAGGGUGACUCCUUCGGGAGAUUGGUCCCCUCUCCUCACCCUCACUCCAUGAGAAGAUCCACCUACGACCUCAGGUCCUCAGACCAGCCCAAGGAACAUCUCACCAAUUUCAAACCGGGCUUCCCUCUUGUCUGGAGGAAAAAGAAAAAAGAGAACCAGACUUAGACACAACUUCUUGUGGGCACAUAUUCAGAAGGCAUCUCACUGGAGAGGGUUUAGUUCUCCUUAGCAGAAGAUAAGAUUUCAAGAUUUCAGCUAAGACUCAUCUCUCUGCAAAUCUUUCUUUUGAGAGCAUCUUCACCAGGAGGAGAUUCCAUCUCAAGAGACCACUUUCACUGCUCAUAUGUAAGAAGCAACUCUUCAUCUGUUCAAGUUUGAUCAUGAGAGUGCGGCAAUUCAGUCACAACUUCAGGCUCCACUUCUAGUUCUAGUUCUCUUGCUGUUUCCACCACAUCUACAGCGACUUCCUCCACUGAAGACGUGAACCCCUGAAAGUCAUCUAUGGGGGUUGGAAUCAAUGUCUUUCACACUCCUGUUAAUGUUGGUAUUUUGACCUCCUCCCAUGAAUUACAAAUGUUCCUAAUGGCAUCUAGAAUAAUGACUACUUUCCAGAAGCUUUUCAAUUUGCUUUGCUCAGAUCCAUCAAUGGAAUCACUAUCAAUGGUAGCUAUAUAAACUAUAUAAGGCUAUAUAUAUAUAUAUAGCUAUUUCUUAAUAGCCUUAUGAAAUAUAUUUCUUAAUAAGACUUGAAAGUCUUGGUCCAUGGACUGCAGAAUGGAUGUUUGUGUUAGCAGGGAUGAAAACAACAUGAAUAUUCUCGUACAUCUCCAACACAGCUCUUGAUCGACAUGGUGCAGAGCAGUAAUAUUUUGAAAGGAAUCUUUUUUUCUGAGCAAUAGUUCUCAAUAGUGGGCUUGAAAUAUUCAGUAAACCAUGCUGUAAACAGA